UAAGCGCAAGAAGAGACAUAUCUUGUGGACACGCGUCAGGUUGAUACAGGGAAAUCUCCUCCGCUCUCUCAUCUUUAUCUCUCUCUCAGCCGGUUUCGAUUCCAAAAUCUCGUCCUUGAUCUCUCUUCGAUGAUUAUCGGUCAGCGUCUCUCUCGGUGGUUGUCGUACGACCUCGGCGUUCAAGGAGAAGGGAGUCCUCAGCGUCAACGAGUUCGUGCUUGCCGGCGAUGAUCUCGUCUCCAAGUGCCCUACCUGGUCAUGGGAGUCUGGUGACCCUGGCAAAAGGAAGUCAUACUUACCCUUGGAGAAACAGUUUUUGAUUACGUAAAACGUACCUUGUCUACGGAGAGCUGCAUCUGUGGCAGAGGAAUAUGAAGUUGCUGGAGGAGAAGUGUUGGUUGAUGAUGAAGAUGAUGAUGGUUGACUGGCUACACACGGGAAACCGAAAGAUAAAGGCAACGAAGAUGAGAACUUGCCGUCCAUGAAGAGGUUGUGGCUGGUGGUGAUGGAAUCAAACUAUCCUCAUAGCAACUGUGUAUGUGCCUACUGCUAAAGGACCUUUCCUUGAGGAUCUCUCUCGCUCCGUGGUGCCUCCAAAGAAGCCAAGCAUAGCUGAGAAGCCUGCAAUAUCUGUGUCUCCGUUCUCUACGGUUCGUGCAUCUCACAACACAUAUAACUCUUCAACUCUUACCAUUCUUCUCAUGUUCAGAAAAUAAUCACACACUUUUUAUACAUUUUAAUCACAAAUUCAUACAUUUUGAUCACAAAUUAUACAA
Brassica oleracea var. oleracea is the source of this 776-nucleotide long non-coding RNA. RefSeq lists it as uncharacterized. NCBI's taxonomy places the organism in Eukaryota, Viridiplantae, Streptophyta, Magnoliopsida, Brassicales, Brassicaceae. The record is from RefSeq and is a predicted model, not a curated record. The transcript is spliced from 4 exons.